GAUGAACGCUGGCGGCGUGCUUAACACAUGCAAGUCGAACGAAGCACUUUAACCUGAUUCUUCGGAUGAAGGUUUUUGUGACUGAGUGGCGGACGGGUGAGUAACGCGUGGGUAACCUGCCUCAUACAGGGGGAUAACAGUUAGAAAUGACUGCUAAUACCGCAUAAGACCACAGAGCCGCAUGGCUCGGUGGGAAAAACUCCGGUGGUAUGAGAUGGACCCGCGUCUGAUUAGGUAGUUGGUGGGGUAACGGCCUACCAAGCCGACGAUCAGUAGCCGACCUGAGAGGGUGACCGGCCACAUUGGGACUGAGACACGGCCCAAACUCCUACGGGAGGCAGCAGUGGGGAAUAUUGCACAAUGGGGGAAACCCUGAUGCAGCGACGCCGCGUGAGCGAAGAAGUAUUUCGGUAUGUAAAGCUCUAUCAGCAGGGAAGAAAAUGACGG
RNAcentral lists this ribosomal RNA (447 nucleotides) under uncultured bacterium. RNAcentral describes it as "bacterial SSU rRNA". It matches the Rfam family "Bacterial small subunit ribosomal RNA", at positions 28 to 457 of the family's 1533-position model. The record is from RNAcentral.